This is a long non-coding RNA of Scomber japonicus (chub mackerel), 144 nucleotides long. RefSeq lists it as uncharacterized. The transcript has 3 exons. The record is from RefSeq and is a predicted model, not a curated record. NCBI's taxonomy places the organism in Eukaryota, Metazoa, Chordata, Actinopteri, Scombriformes, Scombridae.
GUGUAGUAUAGUGUGUAGUGUGUAGUAUAUAUAGUGUGUAGUAUAGUGUGUAUAGUGUGUAGUAUAGUGUGUAUAGUGUGUAGUAUAGUGUGUAGUAUAGUGUGUAUAGUGUUGUAUAGUGUGUAUAGUGUGUAGUAUAGUGUG